UCUCUCUCUCUCUCUCUCUCUCUCUCUCUCUCUCUCUGUCUCUCUCUCUGUCUCUCUCUCUGUCUCUGUCUCUGUCUCUGUCUCUCUCUCUCUCUCUCUCUCUCUGUGUGUGUGUGUGUGUGUGUGUGUGUGUCUGUUUUGCACGCUGUGAUAGCUACUCUGGGUUUUUACCUUGACUACAUCUAGAAUGAACUACAAUCCAGAAGUGAAAUACACACCUGUGAGAAAUUCUUGCUUGCUUGAAAGUGGGUAAAUCCUCUUCUAGUCCAGUCCUUUGAGAUAGGAGGAUACACACCUUCAAUUUAAAUCUUGAGGUAGAAGGACACAGGCCUUUAAUCCUGGAUCUUGAGUAAGAAGACACAACUUUAAUCUUAAGCCAUAUAAGGAUGUAGAAGGAAGUUCUUGCUCUUUGCCUGCUUCCCCUUGCCUUGAUAGCCAUCCACUCCUUCGCUGGCAUUGGAGCCUACUUCAGGAUUCCAGAAUAUAUAGAAAGCCAGUUGAGACAUCCAGACAUCCAGCCUUGUGGAUUGAGCAACGAGAUUCUUGGACUUUUCAUUUACAGCCAGCCAUUGUCAAAUUAGGUGGACUGCAGACUCUCUCCCUCAGUGGGCCUCUCCACGUCCUAUUGAUCCUUCUGACUGCUGGCCAGUAAAUUUAGCUCUGCAUCCUUCACCAUUAAGAGGACAGAGGGAAAUGCAGCUUUCCUCAGAAAAGCCUGGUACCUGGCACGGCACAGGGCAGCAUCAUUCCCAUCGUGAUAACACCUGCGCACGGCUCCUUUCUGUUGUUUGAAGAAGGCGUAGCUUGUAUUUGGUCUGGACAGAUUGCUCAAUUACUAAAUUGCUUGCCUUGCAAACACGGAGACCUGACAACCUCCAAUCCCAGGGCCCACAGACGGAAAGCCAGGCAUGAAGAUGUGCAGAGACACAUCCAGAGGUGGAGCCAGGACCAAGGACUUGUUAUUUUGGAAUAGAGGAUCUAUAUCUGUGUUGACAGAAAAAAAGAAGAGGCUUUGGACCCCAUCCAGAGUCAUAUGGAUCAGAUAUGACAAGGGAAGAGCCCCUGAAGAACUAAAAAAAUUCAAGAGAAUCCAAUAAAGAUUCCUUGUGCUAUCCUUCACAUUGCAUGAAUAAAGACUUGUUACAAUUGGUUAUUAAUAAAAUUAACUCAUAA
Rattus norvegicus (Norway rat) is the source of this 1173-nucleotide long non-coding RNA. RefSeq lists it as uncharacterized. The record is from RefSeq and is a predicted model, not a curated record. Lineage: Eukaryota; Metazoa; Chordata; Mammalia; Rodentia; Muridae.